GAUCAUGGCUCAGGAUGAACGCUAGCUACAGGCUUAACACAUGCAAGUCGAGGGGCAUCGAGAGGAAAGCUUGCUUCCUGUCGGCGACCGGCGCACGGGUGAGUAACGCGUAUCCAACCUUCCCCUUAGUAGGGCAUAGCCCGGCGAAAGUCGGAUUAAUACCCUAUGUUUUUCCGAUGAGGACAUCUGAGCUGGAAUAAAGAUUUAUCGCUAAGGGAUGGGGAUGCGUCUGAUUAGGUAGUCGGCGGGGUAACGGCCCACCGAGCCAACGAUCAGUAGGGGUUCUGAGAGGAAGGUCCCCCACAUUGGUACUGAGACACGGACCAAACUCCUACGGGAGGCAGCAGUGAGGAAUAUUGGUCAAUGGGCGAGAGCCUGAACCAGCCAAAAGUAGCGUGCAGGAUGACGGCCCUAUGGGUUGUAAACUGCUUUUAUCGGGGGAUAAAGUGAGGGACGCGUCCCUUUUUGUAGGUACCCGAUGAAUAAGGACCGGCUAAUUCCGUGCCAGCCGCCGC
This 515-nucleotide ribosomal RNA is filed under the name uncultured bacterium. RNAcentral's name for it is "bacterial SSU rRNA". It matches the Rfam family "Bacterial small subunit ribosomal RNA", at positions 15 to 518 of the family's 1533-position model. The record is from RNAcentral.